CCUACGGGAGGCAGCAGUGAGGAAUAUUGGACAAUGGGCGCAAGCCUGAUCCAGCCAUGCCGCGUGCAGGAAGAAGCAUCUAUGGUGUGUAAACUGCUUUUGUACAGGAAGAAACACUCCCUCGUGAGGGAGCUUGACGGUACUGUAAGAAUAAGGACCGGCUAACUCCGUGCCAGCAGCCGCGGUAAUACGGAGGGUCCGAGCGUUAUCCGGAAUCAUUGGGUUUAAAGGGUCCGUAGGCGGUUUAAUAAGUCAGUGGUGAAAUCUGGUCGCUCAACGAUCCAACGGCCAUUGAUACUGUUAGACUUGAAUUAUAAGGAAGUAACUAGAAUAUGUAGUGUAGCGGUGAAAUGCUUAGAUAUUACAUGGAAUACCAAUUGCGAAGGCAGGUUACUACUUAUGGAUUGACGCUGAUGGACGAAAGCGUGGGGAGCGAACAGGAUUAGAUACCCUGGUAGUCCACGCCGUAAACGAUGGAUACUAGCUGUUCGGAGCAACCUGAGUGGCUAAGCGAAAGUGAUAAGUAUCCCACCUGGGGAGUACGUUCGCAAGAAUGAAACUCAAAGUAGUAGUAGACGUCGUAGAGUAGCGACGACGGACCACGACGGGUUAGGGAGGUU
RNAcentral lists this ribosomal RNA (620 nucleotides) under uncultured bacterium. Its description in RNAcentral is "bacterial SSU rRNA". It matches the Rfam family "Bacterial small subunit ribosomal RNA", at positions 338 to 958 of the family's 1533-position model. The record is from RNAcentral.